Molecule: ribosomal RNA, 240 nt
Filed under: uncultured bacterium
Lineage: Bacteria
Description: partial 16S ribosomal RNA
Rfam family: Bacterial small subunit ribosomal RNA
Source: RNAcentral
UGGCGACCGGGUGAGUAACACGUGACUAACCUACCUUCAAGUGGGGGAUAACCUCGGGAAACCGGGGCUAAUACCGCAUAACAUCUUUGGAGUGGAAAUUCUGGAGAUCAAAGGAGCAAUUCGCUGGAAGAGGGGGUCGCGGCUGAUUAGCUAGUUGGCGGGGUAAUGGCCCACCAAGGCUUUGAUCGGUAGCCGGCCUGAGAGGGCGCACGGCCACACUGGGACUGAAACACGGUCCAG